UCGCAGGCUGCAACCCGCCUGCGUGAAGUUGGAAUCGCUAGUAAUCGCGGAUCAGCAUGCCGCGGUGAAUACGUUCCCGGGCCUUGUACACACCGCCCGUCACACCAUGAGAGUCGGGAACACCCGAAGUCCGUAGCCUAACCGCGAAGGGGGCGCGGCCGAAGGUGGGUUCGAUAAUUGGGGUGAAGUCGUAACAAGGUACC
Molecule: ribosomal RNA, 203 nt
Filed under: uncultured bacterium
Lineage: Bacteria
Description: partial 16S ribosomal RNA
Rfam family: Bacterial small subunit ribosomal RNA
Source: RNAcentral